GUAGCUGGCUUCCGAGGCAUGUGCACGCUCCGCUCAUCCACUCUACACCUGUGCACUUACUGUGGGCUUUGAAAGCCGUGCUUAUGGCGCGGUGAUCAGGCCUACGUUUUAUUACAAACUCUUCAGUAUCAGAAUGUUUAUUACGAUGUUAACGCAUCUAUAUACAACUUUCAGCAACGGAUCUCUUGGCUCUCGCAUCGAUGAAGAACGCAGCGAAAUGCGAUAAGUAAUGUGAAUUGCAGAAUUCAGUGAAUCAUCGAAUCUUUGAACGCACCUUGCGCUCCUUGGUAUUCCGAGGAGCAUGCCUGUUUGAGUGUCGUGAAAUUCUCAAUCUAUAAGCCUUUGCGGGUUUAUAGACUUGGACUUGGAGGCUUGCCGGCUUUAAACUGUCGGCUCCUCUUAAAUGCAUUAGCUUGAUUCCUUGCGGAUCGGCUCUCGGUGUGAUAAUUGUCUACGCCGUGACCGUGAAGCGUUUGGCAGGCUUCUAACCGUCUCAUUAGAGACAGCUUCAUUGACAU
This 518-nucleotide small RNA is filed under the name Polyporales sp. 1340 FeMM. Its description in RNAcentral is "eukaryotic LSU rRNA". The stretch from base 166 to 319 matches the Rfam family "5.8S ribosomal RNA". Lineage: Eukaryota; Fungi; Basidiomycota; Agaricomycetes; Polyporales. The record is from RNAcentral.